AUUGAACGCUGGCGGCAUGUCUUACACAUGCAAGUCGAACGGCAGCACGGGUGCUUGCACCUGGUGGCGAGUGGCGAACGGGUGAGUAAUACAUCGGAACGUACCUUAUCGUGGGGGAUAACGCAGCGAAAGCUGUGCUAAUACCGCAUACGCCCUGAGGGGGAAAGCGGGGGAUCGCAAGACCUCGCGCGAUUAGAGCGGCCGAUGCCUGAUUAGCUUGUUGGUGGGGUAAAAGCCCACCAAGGCGACGAUCAGUAGCUGGUCUGAGAGGACGAUCAGCCACACUGGGACUGGGACACGGCCCAGACUCCUACGGGAGGCAGCAGUGGGGAAUUUUGGACAAUGGGGGCAACCCUGAUCCAGCAAUGCCGCGUGAGUGAAGAAGGCCUUCAGGUUGUAAAGCUCUUUUGUCAGGGAAGAAACACCGGCUCUAACACAGUCUGGGAAUGACGGUACCUGAAGAAUACGCACCGGCUAACUACGUGCCAGCCGCCGCGGUAA
Molecule: ribosomal RNA, 501 nt
Filed under: uncultured bacterium
Lineage: Bacteria
Description: partial 16S ribosomal RNA
Rfam family: Bacterial small subunit ribosomal RNA
Source: RNAcentral